This 497-nucleotide ribosomal RNA is filed under the name uncultured bacterium. Its description in RNAcentral is "partial 16S ribosomal RNA". It matches the Rfam family "Bacterial small subunit ribosomal RNA", at positions 36 to 507 of the family's 1533-position model. The record is from RNAcentral.
UCUUCCCUCUUUCUUCGUGCCUAAUACAUGCAAGUCGAGCGAACAGAUAAGGAGCUUGCUCCUUUGACGUUAGCGGCGGACGGGUGAGUAACACGUGGGUAACCUACCUAUAAGACUGGAAUAACUCCGGGAAACCGGGGCUAAUGCCGGAUAACAUUUAGAACCGCAUGGUUCUAAAGUGAAAGAUGGUUUUGCUAUCACUUAUAGAUGGACCCGCGCCGUAUUAGCUAGUUGGUAAGGUAACGGCUUACCAAGGCAACGAUACGUAGCCGACCUGAGAGGGUGAUCGGCCACACUGGAACUGAGACACGGUCCAGACUCCUACGGGAGGCAGCAGUAGGGAAUCUUCCGCAAUGGGCGAAAGCCUGACGGAGCAACGCCGCGUGAGUGAUGAAGGUCUUCGGAUCGUAAAACUCUGUUAUUAGGGAAGAACAAAUGUGUAAGUAACUGUGCACGUCUUGACGGUACCUAAUCAGAAAGCCACGGCUAACUACGUG